UGAACGCUGGCGGCGUGCCUAAUACAUGCAAAUCGAGCGAACAGACGAGGAGCUUGCUCCUCUGACGUUAGCGGCGGACGGGUGAGUAACACGUGGAUAACCUACCUAUAAGACUGGGAUAACUUCGGGAAACCGGAGCUAAUACCGGAUAAUAUAUUGAACCGCAUGGUUCAAUAGUGAAAGACGGUUUUGCUGUCACUUAUAGAUGGAUCCGCGCCGCAUUAGCUAGUUGGUAAGGUAACGGCUUACCAAGGCGACGAUGCGUAGCCGACCUGAGAGGGUGAUCGGCCACACUGGAACUGAGACACGGUCCAGACUCCUACGGGAGGCAGCAGUAGGGAAUCUUCCGCAAUGGGCGAAAGCCUGACGGAGCAACGCCGCGUGAGUGAUGAAGGUCUUCGGAUCGUAAAACUCUGUUAUUAGGGAAGAACAAAUGUGUAAGUAACUAUGCACGUCUUGACGGUACCUAAUCAGAAAGCCACGGCUAACUACGUG
This 495-nucleotide ribosomal RNA is filed under the name uncultured bacterium. RNAcentral describes it as "partial 16S ribosomal RNA". It matches the Rfam family "Bacterial small subunit ribosomal RNA", at positions 30 to 507 of the family's 1533-position model. The record is from RNAcentral.